UACGGGGGGGGCAAGCGUUGUUCGGAAUUACUGGGCGUAAAGGGCGCGUAGGCGGUUCGCUAAGUUGGAUGUGAAAGCCCCGGGCUCAACCUGGGAAUUGCAUUUAAAACUGUCCAGCUAGAGUCUUGUAGAGGGGGGUAGAAUUCCAGGUGUAGCGGUGAAAUGCGUAGAGAUCUGGAGGAAUACCGGUGGCGAAGGCGGCCCCCUGGACAAAGACUGACGCUCAGGUGCGAAAGCGUGGGGAGCAAAAGGG
This 253-nucleotide ribosomal RNA is filed under the name uncultured prokaryote. RNAcentral describes it as "partial 16S ribosomal RNA". It matches the Rfam family "Bacterial small subunit ribosomal RNA", at positions 524 to 776 of the family's 1533-position model. The record is from RNAcentral.